This 7228-nucleotide long non-coding RNA is filed under the name Marmota monax (woodchuck). Lineage: Eukaryota; Metazoa; Chordata; Mammalia; Rodentia; Sciuridae. The record is from RNAcentral.
GAACUCCAGGUGGACGCCGGGAGCUAUGAGGUGCACCAACCACGGUGGAUGUGACUUACCCACAGCAUGGCACGCGGCCCACGAGGCUCAGGCCAGAUCCCUGUCCUACCCCAUGAGAUCUACUCCAGAAGUAAAUCUACCUGUUCGUCAACUACAAAUUGCAUCUUCUAGCAUAUACACAAUUCACCCCACCUUCAGCCAACGUGGAACCGUGUCUUGCACAUCUACUUUCCUCCCAUAAAUGACGCUUUGCCCGUGAGAUCCCCUGGCUCUGCACCUCAGGUGAGUUAUUCUGAAUCACUGGAUUCUCCUUCCAAACAAUGGGCCUAACUUACAGGGCUUUUUUUAAAAAGAUUAAAUGAGAAAAUACUAUAUGGUUCACAGUUUUUCUACCCCACCAUUUCCCUUUAGGGGCAUAAACCAUAAAGCUUGAAAGUCAGACAGAUCUGGGUCAAAAUCCAGGUGCUGUAAUUGACCAAACUCUGGGAUCUCAGGUUCUACUUCUCUUGGCUUUACUUUCAGCAUCAGAAAAAUGGGGUUGAUCUCCUCUUCAGGGGAUGGAGCAGGCAUUGAAUGGCCACAUAUAGGCCCUCUGGACCCAGAGUUUCUGAAUCAGAGGAUUCAACCAACCUCAGACGGAAAAAUUUGUGUCACAACUGAACGUAUGCAGGAUGUUUGUUUUUGAGACAGGUCUCGCUAUGUUGUCCAGGCUGGCCUUGAACUCAAGGCCUGGCCUCCAGCGAUCCUCCCGCCUUAGCUUCCCAAAGACCUGGGACCACACCUGGCUACAGCACAGAAGAUUGUUCCUUGCCAUUAUUUCUUUGCCUACACAAUACAGUAUAACCACUCCGUACAAAGCAUUCACAACGUAUUCGGUAGUAUAUCUCGUAAUGAUUGAGGAUGUCUGUAGGUCAUGUGCAAAUUAUAUUAAGCAAUUUAUAGUAAGGACUUGAAACACUGAUUUUGGCCUUGGAGAGCGUCCUGGAACCAAUCCCUUGAAGGGCAAAAUAGCAGGGGUCACUGUCGUUGGUGCUGGACUCCUUGAGUUGCUGGCCACAGGAUCUUUGGGAAUUGGGACCCUAUCUCUGGAAAGCUCCCAGGUGUGGCCUGCCCAGCCCUGAAUGAGCCCUGGACUUGAAGCCAUCGAUUCUUCCCCUUCCUCUGGAGCUGUCAGGACCCAGCUCCAAAGGGCAGCAGCUCCCAGGAGCUGACAGGACGGCAGAGCUCGCUUGAAGGUCCAGGAGAGGAGUUUAAGAAGGGAAGGAGAGGCUGCCACCCGUGGGCCCGGAUCACAUGCCUCUGCCAUGCACAGGUAAGGGCGAGCCACUAUAGAAGGCAGAGUUUUCUUUUAAAUUACACUAAUGGCUAAUGUUUAUAGAGAUGUGCUAGGCCUGGUGCUGAGAACCACAACUCUUCAUUUGAUCUGACGUCCCCAGACUUCCUCACCUGAUAGAUGGCAAAACUGAGAUUCAAAGAGGUGAAAUGACUGUCCCAAGGCCACAGAGUGCAGCAGAGGGGCUGCCAUUUGAACCACCUGGCUCUAGAGCUCCCUUGUUGCCCCACUCCUGGAGUCUCCAGAAGAACUUCAGAAUUCUGGAGCUCAGGACUGGUUCCAGACACAGCCAGGGCACCCAAGGGCCUGAGGAGUCACAGUCCGAUUCCAAGACACAUGGAGGUUGAGAGGCAUCCUCCAGGUGCCCAGCCACCCCAGGGCCACCUGGUGCCUGUCCUCUCCUGGGGACUCACCACUCCAGCAACUCCUACUCUUUCUCCUCCACCAGCCACGCGGGGCGUGGGGCAGAGAGAACCAGGAUUUUAUCAAGACAAAGAACAAAAGUCGUGGGGGAAAGAAGCCAAGAGCCAUCUCCCCUGUGGGGUAGGGCCCUUCAGUUUUGCCCCUUUGAAAUUUCAAAUUCCAGUUUGUGGACAAAGUCCUAACUAUCUCACAAUAUAGGUUCCCAACUGCUGACCAAACUCCAGUCUAGCCGCCACCUGGCCCCAGGCUGGCCCAGUCUGGCUGCUUCCCGACAGCUCCCAAGAUCUGGGGUAGGAGGCCAAGGGCAGCUGGGGACCGCCAAGGACCCCCACCUCCCACCUGAGAGGACAGCUUCCUGCCCAGAGUUGGGAUCUGAUGCUUCCUGGUCUCAACAGCAGAUGCCAGGUAGGCGCCCUGGCGGUCUGGGCCUCUGGGCUCCUCCUGGAGCCCCCAACGGACCACCUGCUCACACUGCCAUGGCUUAAUCCCCAAGGGACCCCACAGCACUGGACAGGCUGUGUCCCUGACCCACUCCUUUGGCACAUGGAGACACUGAGGCUGUCGGCAAAUGGAAGCUGCUGCAGUUUGAAGAGUGGAGCUGGCCAGAGACCAGGGGCCCCUCCCUGAGCCCCAAAGGCUGGAAGGGACUUGGGAAUUGCUCCAGGCCACUCAGUGGUGGCAGGUAAGCUUGGACUGAACAAGGAGGUCAGUCCCCUUCGCUUCCUCUCCUACAGACCGUGGAUGGCCCUGUGUGUUUGUCCACUCAGUGACUGAUGGCCACCAGGUUGCCCCAGGAGCAUUUCCGAGAGGAAGACGAGGGAGCUGGGGCUGAAGGCCAGUGGGAUUGGAAGGAAACACUAUUCACAUGGUUAACUGAUAACUGGGCCCCAUCCCCGGGCCUCCACAGGCCUCUUUCCUCCCUCCCUCUCCUCAGCAUGAUUAAGAUGAACUUACCUGCCUGCUAAUCAUUGCUGAGACUGUUGAUUUUGCCUUAAAAAAUUAACUGGGCAUGAGUUUGCGGUUUGCCUCACCCCUAACCCUGAAAAGGCCUGGGUGGGCAGGAGGCCUCCUGGGUUAUGCAAGAGGCCGCUGGCCUCCCCACGCGCAUCCCGUGGCCUCCUCUGCCGUUCUCCAAAGGGGAGUUUUGCUCAAGAGUCAACAGUCUGCCUGUCCCCCUGCCGGGUCCUGAGCAAAUUUGCUCUGUUACCAAAGAGAGAUAAAAACACUGUGGAAUGGGGGUGGGGGGAACUUUCCAAAUGGGGAUGUGAAGCAGUGGCUUUGAGCUUGGGUUUCUAGAAUCCUGCAGCAUCAGAGCCAAGAGAACCUUUCGGAGGAUGUGGGCUGGGGCUUUUUAUUUUUAUUUGACUUUUCAAAGCAGCUUCUGGUGUUCCCAGGAGCCCACAGAUUGAUGCUCUCUUAGGUGUGAUCUUUCUUAAUGUUUCCAUUGAGAGAAGGGAGACCACAGGUGCAGCCUCAGCCCCUCAGUGUGCAGAUGGGAAAAGAGGCCAGGGGAGGGGUGGGUGCCUCAGACAAGAACACAGGCCACCCAGGUAUCCUGGGUCUCCAGCCGAGACAGGGAUAACAGGUACUCUCUGGACCUGAAUGACAUGUUGAAGGACAUCAGGGAACAAGGUGGCUGCAUGCACAUCUUCCCCUGCCAUCCCCCUCUUCUUGGAGGGCAGAAGUAAGCAGAGAGGUGUCCUGAGAGUCCUGGAAGAUCCCACGGCAGGGGACUUCACCUGUAGUGUGUUCUGUGGUCCUCUGAGGAGCAGGACCAGCAGCAUGAGCUGCAAACCAGACUCUGUCACAGCCCCUCUUGGCCAACCCUGCCCUGACUCUCGGUCCCUCCGAACCUCAGUUUCUCUCCCUGUAAAUUGGGAACAAUACCUACCUAACUCCUAGGGUUGUCAGGAGGGUGAACGGAGUAAAAAGCAUUCAUUGAUAAUGAGGGCCAAUGUGCAUGCAGCUGUUUCGGGGGGGCUAUCCAUCCGUGUUAGCUCAUGAAUUCUUACACCACCCUAACACAGACAGUGUUUUUAUCACCAUUUUGUGGAGCAUGGGCACAGAAUGAUUGAGUCAUGCGCUCAAGCCCACUCAGCUGAUAAGAAAUAAGUUAGGAUUCAAGUCCAAACUGAUUGCAGAAUCUGUGCUCCUAACCCUAAAGCACCCUGCCUUUCCAGGAAUGUACGUAGUAAGGGCUCAAGGAAAGCUGGUCAGUAGAGGGGCAUGGAAGUCCCUCUGGUCAGAGAUCAGGGCAUUGCAGGAGCUGCUGAGUUUGAGGUAGAGAGGAUGGCCAGAGGCUGAGCCAUCAGGAGGAAAGCCAGGACCCAGUCUGUGUGGGCGGAGCCGCCCUGUGGGUUGCCUGCCUGCUGCCAGGGGGGCGUUCCUGUUCUCCUGUUUAUGUUCAUCUCUUCUGUUUAUGUUCCUGACUUUAUCUGCAGGGGUGACCUUGGGGAAUUAGAUGGGGCCUAGCCUGCCCUCAUGGGGCCUGAAGGGUGAUGGGAAGUUCCUGCUCAGUCCAGGCCCUCGACUCAGGGAUAAAAGUCGCCCUUAGCCUCUCUGGAUCCCUCCUGAGGGGCUUCAGGGAUUUGUCUGGAGGUCACUGCGGUGAAAGAUUUGCAAGUCCUGAGACUUAGGCCAGGAUCACUGUGUACAGUUGUACAAGCUGCUCCCCACACGCAUGUUCUCUAGCCAAGAUGGUUGAGUGGGGGUAGAAAUCCAGCCCUUGCUCCAAAGCCCAUGAACUUUGCCUGCCUGGAGGGGGAUGUCUUUUUCUUAUUUGCACAAAGAAUCCAUGUAAGCUACUAGGAGCUCUGCCCCAGCUCUGUUUCCAGCCACUGUGUGACCUCGGACAAAGCCCAUCCCUUCCUGGCCUUGGAUUCCUGUUUGGGAAGUUGUGUCUAGCAUAAAGCAGAGAUUCAAUCUAGAUAGUGAAACAGAAUCACCUGGGAUCUUAAAAAAAUAUAUAGAUGCUCAGCUGCUCGGGUAGCUCAGUGGUAGAGCAGAGAGCAAGUUGUUCCAUUCUCAGCCCUAAAGCAAAACACUGAGGCCCAGGCUGGGUGAUACGCCAGUGAUCAAAUCUUAGGGUAGCAGUGAGUAGUGCUCGGCUUCAGUAGUUUUUGAAAUCCCUGGAUGAUUCUGAUCAUCCAGGAUGAUUCAGGCCCAUCACAGAAGGCUUGACAUUUUGAAGUGGAAAGACCUUGACACAGGUCUGAGUUUUCCAACUAAGUGCAGCUUACUAUUCAGAACUUCAGGGAGGAUUGGUUUCCCCAUCUGUAAAAUGGACCCACAACUCCCUCACAAUGUCAGAAUGCUGAGUCAGCGGAUGACAUCCUGAGAUGGUCCCUGAUUCUUGGUGCCAAUGGCUGUUAUUGUUACUGUCAAUAAAAUAUUGGUAUCAAGUAAAAGGCCCUUCCAGGCCAAGCGUUCAGGGACAUGGAGCCAGGCUUUCUCUGUUCCUUGGAUGCCCAUCUUCUCUGCCCACCUGUCCUAUUAUUGAAGUUGUGUGGUGAUGAUGAUGAUGAUGAUCUGAUUUGUUAGACAUUGCACAUUUAUUUCUGAAUCAUUAACGACCUUCACAUGGCUCAGAAUCAGAUGUGAAAAAGGUACCCUGUUGAGAAGCCCGGUCCGCUCUGCCUGCUGCUGCCUGAGCUCUCCACCUCUUUACCACCCUUCCUCAUUUUCCUACUUUCUCAUGGAUCUUUCUUGAAAGUCUUUCACGGAAGUACAAGAAUCUAUAAGAUCACAGGUCGUCAGCCCUGCCUCCCACACUGUCCUGCCUCCUGCCUGUUUCCUUGACCAUUAUGGCCUGCAGAUUUUCCCAUAGCAGUUGAGAGCCAGCUUUGGGAGAAAACAGGCUCUGGGAGGGAGCGUUGUUUUCCCAGGAAGCCAAGUCAGUCAUGUUUGAACUCUCUCUCCUUGGCUCCAGAGCCCAUGUCUGUCCCCUGAACUGAAGUGGCCUUCCAGGAACCCAGGCCUCAGGAGUUUGGGAGCCAGGCAUAAACUGGUGCAGCACAGACCUGGCCUUCCCGGGCAUAAGGGAAGGUGGGGUUGGGUGGGCUGUUAGGGCCUCUCCUGUUUCUGGGCCCUGAAGACCCAAAGACAGGCUAAAGUAUGGAAUAAGUCAUCCAAAUAGGGACCCAGUGAGGGGUGUCCCCUGGAUGGGACGUCAUGGCCUGGUGGCCCUGCCAUCCAGCACUGUAGAACCUGCAAGCUCAGAGUGUGCUGGCAGCAGCAAGGUCCAAAGGAGGAGGGGCAGGGAGGAAGGGAAGCCUAGCCAAUGGGACGGCCAAUGCAGAGCCCUGGGGGACCCAUUCCUGGAGGGCAGGAUUUGGAAUUCAAGACAGAAGUGGUGAGGACAGCUUAGCCCACAUUUUCUGUGCAGGCGAAUUCAGGGUCCCCCUGGAUCCUUGACCUGCUCAGAGCACUGACUGAGCAAGUCAAGCUCGCUCUCUGCGCCUCAGCUGCAAAAUGAAGAUUAGACAGCUGGUCUUUGGGCAGCCUUGAAGCACCCCUAAAGGCAUCUUUGGGGGCUCCCUCUCCUUGUUGAGGGAAUCUGAAUCCUGUUUUGACCAGAAUAUCAUUCACCUAUCAGGGCCCUUGGCCUUCCUGGAUGGGGGCUGGGGAUAAAAGUCUCCACACUGCUUCAAAGUCCAGCCUCCUCCCCCCAGUUCUGUGUCUCCCUCCUGCCACCCCAUAUUCCUUCCAGGCAAAUGCAGAGGCAGGACCAUACCUGGUGGGUCCUGGGGGAAGCCCUGGCCCCCGUCCGACAUCCUCCUCCCGGUGCUAUGGGGUCCCGCACAGUGGGCAACCUCUUCAUCCCUGAGUCAACCCCUGCUGCCACCCUGGCACCCUAGACCCUGUGGGGACUGCUGGGCAGAGUUAAUCCCUUAAUACUGGUCACAAUGAGAUUUCAGGGAUGGUGGGAGGCGGUCUCCAUGGAGACCGAAGACCUGUCCAGGACCCACGCAAGGAAUUAGCCCCAGGCCUCUGCAAGGGGCCCCUAGAGACCCAACCCAAACAGUGGGAGACGCCGGGCCUGCAGGCCUGGGUCUGGCCUCCUGCUCUCUGUGUUCUUUUGCUGAACAGGUGAGAUGCAUUCAUGGGAGCCUGCGUCACCUUUCUGAGACAGAUUCUUUAUCCUCCAUUUGGGGUUCUGGGCCUCAAUCAACUUUUCUAGAAGAGUGCCACUUUGGGAGUCUGUUAGACCUGAAUUUGAUGCUCAGCUUUUCUGUCUCAGACUGCCUCAGGCCAAGCACUGCGCUUCUCUGAGCCUCAGUUUCCUCAUCUUUAGGAUGGGCACCAUAAUGCCACCCUGGUGUCACUCUUGGGUCUGUGUGGUGGGUAGUGACACUCAGUGAAUGUAAGUGUCUUCACCUCUUUCUGCUGCCCUUCCCCAAUCACCUGAAGACCCCACGCCACACCCUCGUCCCUGGCAGAGAGCUGUCACAUCUCUCUCUGCCACCCUGUCCC